CACGUAGUUAGCCGGCGCUUCUUCUGCAGGUACCGUCACUUGCGCUUCUUCCCUGCUGAAAGGGGUUUACAACCCGAAGGCCGUCAUCCCUCACGCGGCGUCGCUGCAUCAGGCUUGCGCCCAUUGUGCAAUAUUCCCCACUGCUGCCUCCCGUAGGAGUCUGGGCCGUGUCUCAGUCCCAGUGUGGCCGGUCGCCCUCUCAGGCCGGCUACCCGUCGUCGCCUUGGUGAGCCGUUACCUCACCAACAAGCUGAUAGGCCGCGGGCUCAUCCUGCACCGCCGGAGCUUUCCACACAGAGGAGAUGCCUCCCUGUGUCGUAUCCGGUAUUAGACCCCGUUUCCAGGGCUUGUCCCAGAGUGCAGGGCAGAUUGCCCACGUGUUACUCACCCGUUCGCCACUAAUCCACCCCCGAAGGGGCUUCAUCGUUCGACUUGCAUGUGUUAAGCACGCCGCCAGCGUGUCUCGUGCACGAGUCAACUAC
Molecule: ribosomal RNA, 482 nt
Filed under: uncultured Streptomyces sp.
Lineage: Bacteria; Bacillati; Actinomycetota; Actinomycetes; Kitasatosporales; Streptomycetaceae
Description: partial 16S ribosomal RNA
Source: RNAcentral